AUGAUAAUAAUACAUUUUCCACACAUCUCUUUUUAUUCUCACAGAAAGCUUACCACCAGUUACAGAGUCAUGGCCACGUUAUCUAACCCAGGAGCUGUAUCCUUCACUGCAGUUCUCAAGGAAAGAGCACACUUUGGGAGUUUGAAAUAUAAGAGUUCUAGUACUCUCUUACACUCUUUAAAAAAGUCACUCGACAGCUUUCUCCUGUCAGAUUUCCAAUGUCUGCACAGCUGUCCAGAAGCCUAUACACUGAGCAAUGUGAAUUUUUCCUCAUUUACCCUCCAGCUACAACAUUGCUGCUUUUCAAGCCCUGUCUCCUGAACCAUGGUCAACUGGUCAACAGCCACUGCCCGGACUGCAGUAGUAGAAACACCUUGGGCCGGCCCGCUGUGUUCCGCAUCUAGCAUGUGGUGCUCAUUCUGAUUUUUACACAUUUUAGGCCAAGGGCGGUGAUGCCCGUGUGCAGGGGGGAUGUCGGAGAAGCACAUCACAAAGAGCUUUGCUAAGAUCUUCCAAGAAAGAUAAGACUUUUCCAUUCAGUACUUUGAAUUAGUGUUCUUGAAAUAUUUUACCAAAGUCGCUAUAACUCUAAGCUGCUUUGUCAAAUCGCAGCAUGGAGACAAAAUGUCUCGUACAACAGGUCCUUUGGAGGAAACAGCAAGAAGAGGGAACGGCUACUCCCUAGUUCCAUGAUCGGGCAAAUCCAAGCUCUGGCCAUUAAAUCAGUUCCAAGACGGGCUUCACAAAUGCUCAGGGUCGGGUUGGUACUGGGGUAGUUUUGAUAGACGAUCCUUUUCAUGGCCUUGCAUAAACCAAAUGCUGAGUAAAAUUCUGCUGAGGGUCCCAGGCCACCAACUCCUGCAGGACACCAUCCUGGGAAGUAUUCUUAGAACCUUGGCCGUGUCCAGGUCUAUCCUGCCCACUAUCAUCUUCAGUAAAGAGAAGAUCUUGCUUAUCAUUAAGCGUCGCCCAAUUUGAACUGGGUCCCCAGUGAUAUCCACCAGCAGAUGUCAUUGCGAAAUGUGGUUGCCAGAGAAGUGGCUUGCAGAAGUCCACCCGGGGACUCUCUUCCAUGCAGUGAAGGGAAAGCCUAUUGUCCUAACACCUUAACCACCACUCCCCACACCUCCCUAUAUGUAAAUGAAAUCAGUGCUAAAUGGAAGGUCCAUUUACCUAAGCUACUAUCGCAUUUAAUUAGUUGCUGGAAAAUUAAAAAAAAAAAGUGCCUUUUUUGUUUUUUAGCAAACUGACUCCUUGUAAUUCCUAUUUUGCUUCUGGAGAGUCCAAUCCGAGUCCUGUGAAUGCCUCAAACCAACGUUUG
Molecule: long non-coding RNA, 1321 nt
Filed under: Vulpes vulpes (red fox)
Lineage: Eukaryota; Metazoa; Chordata; Mammalia; Carnivora; Canidae
Description: lncRNA (ENSVVUG00000014576.1)
Source: RNAcentral